GAUGAACGCUGGCGGCGUGCCUAAUACAUGCAAGUCGAGCGAACAGACGAGGAGCUUGCUCCUCUGACGUUAGCGGCGGACGGGUGAGUAACACGUGGAUAACCUACCUAUAAGACUGGGAUAACUUCGGGAAACCGGAGCCAAUACCGGAUAAUAUAUUGAACCGCAUGGUUCAAUAGCGAAAGACGGUUUUGCUGUCACUUAUAGAUGGAUCCGCGCCGCAUUAGCUAGUUGGUAAGGUAACGGCUUACCAAGGCAACGAUGCGUAGCCGACCUGAGAGGGUGAUCGGCCACACUGGAACUGAGACACGGUCCAGACUCCUACGGGAGGCAGCAGUAGGGAAUCUUCCGCAAUGGGCGAAAGCCUGACGGAGCAACGCCGCGUGAGUGAUGAAGGUCUUCGGAUCGUAAAACUCUGUUAUUAGGGAAGAACAAAUGUGUAAGUAACUAUGCACGUCUUGACGGUACCUAAUCAGAAAGCCACGGCUAACUACGUG
This 497-nucleotide ribosomal RNA is filed under the name uncultured bacterium. RNAcentral describes it as "partial 16S ribosomal RNA". It matches the Rfam family "Bacterial small subunit ribosomal RNA", at positions 28 to 507 of the family's 1533-position model. The record is from RNAcentral.